CUAAACCAUGCACCGAAGCUGCGGCAGCGACACUAUGUGUUGUUGGGUAGGGGAGCGUUCUGUAAGCCUGUGAAGGUGUGUCGUGAGGCAUGCUGGAGGUAUCAGAAGUGCGAAUGCUGACAUAAGUAACGAUAAAGCGGGUGAAAAGCCCGCUCGCCGGAAGACCAAGGGUUCCUGUCCAACGUUAAUCGGGGCAGGGUGAGUCGACCCCUAAGGCGAGGCCGAAAGGCGUAGUCGAUGGGAAACGGGUUAAUAUUCCCGUACUUGGUGUUACUGCGAAGGGGGGACGGAGAAGGCUAUGUUGGCCGGGCGACGGUUGUCCCGGUUUAAGCGUGUAGGUGUGUGUUCCAGGUAAAUCCGGUUCACUUUAACACUGAGGCGUGACGACGAGGCACUACGGUGCUGAAGCAACAAAUGCCCUGCUUCCAGGAAAAGCCUCUAAGCAUCAGGUAACAUCAAAUCGUACCCCAAACCGACACAGGUGGUCAGGUAGAGAAUACCAAGGCGCUUGAGAGAACUCGGGUGAAGGAACUAGGCAAAAUGGUGCCGUAACUUCGGGAGAAGGCACGCUGACACGUAGGUGAAGUGAUUUACUCAUGGAGCUGAAGUCAGUCGAAGAUACCAGCUGGCUGCAACUGUUUAUUAAAAACACAGCACUGUGCAAACACGAAAGUGGACGUAUACGGUGUGACGCCUGCCCGGUGCCGGAAGGUUAAUUGAUGGGGUCAGCGCAAGCGAAGCUCCUGAUCGAAGCCCCGGUAAACGGCGGCCGUAACUAUAACGGUCCUAAGGUAGCGAAAUUCCUUGUCGGGUAAGUUCCGACCUGCACGAAUGGCGUAAUGAUGGCCAGGCUGUCUCCACCCGAGACUCAGUGAAAUUGAACUCGCUGUGAAGAUGCAGUGUACCCGCGGCAAGACGGAAAGACCCCGUGAACCUUUACUAUAGCUUGACACUGAACAUUGAGCCUUGAUGUGUAG
RNAcentral lists this ribosomal RNA (977 nucleotides) under Salmonella enterica. Its description in RNAcentral is "partial 23S ribosomal RNA". It matches the Rfam family "Bacterial large subunit ribosomal RNA", at positions 1181 to 2141 of the family's 2925-position model. Lineage: Bacteria; Pseudomonadati; Pseudomonadota; Gammaproteobacteria; Enterobacterales; Enterobacteriaceae. The record is from RNAcentral.